GGGUUGCUAACUCAACGGUAGAGUACUCGGCUUUUAAGCCGACUAGUUCCGGGUUCGAAUCCCGGGCAACCCA
RNAcentral lists this transfer RNA (73 nucleotides) under Cornus officinalis. RNAcentral's name for it is "tRNA-Lys". It matches the Rfam family "tRNA". From Rfam's summary of the family: Transfer RNA (tRNA) molecules are approximately 80 nucleotides in length. Their secondary structure includes four short double-helical elements and three loops (D, anti-codon, and T loops). Lineage: Eukaryota; Viridiplantae; Streptophyta; Magnoliopsida; Cornales; Cornaceae. RNAcentral also lists the same sequence under 7 other names. The record is from RNAcentral.